This 2416-nucleotide long non-coding RNA is filed under the name Manihot esculenta (cassava). Its description in RNAcentral is "long non-coding RNA (MESC_LNC008971)". Lineage: Eukaryota; Viridiplantae; Streptophyta; Magnoliopsida; Malpighiales; Euphorbiaceae. The record is from RNAcentral.
UCCUACCGGAGAAGACCACCAGAACAUGUGGCUUUGAGCCUAGAAAUCUCAUCUACAUACAUAGGUAACUUCCACUUCUCCUCUUCUUCUGAUUGUGUUUCAAGUUAAUUAAUUUAUUUAUUAACAUAGCAUCUAUGCUUUUUGAUUACAACAGUGAACAGACAGAUUGAUCAGAUUACUGCAGUGGCGGCCGCCGGGUGAGUGUUUUCCAUGCUCUAUGCUUGUCAAGGGAGCAGUCCUUUUGCAGAUUAACCUUUCUUUCAUUGUCUGUUCGACCUUGAAUUAAUACGAGGUUCUAUUAAUAGUAAUCCUGGGAACCCUAGCUAGCUAGUUAUAUAUUAAGCAGCCUUAGUACUUCCAGUUUCCAUGAUCAGACUUAAUUAAGUAGUCUUAUUUCUUUGUAUAUCUAGGCUUCUUUUAAAAAAAAUGAAGGGGCUUAGGGCAAGGUGAUCUUUGAGAUAUAUUUUAAGGUCGAAUGGGCAAUGAAUUCUAGGUAUUAGCUAAGGGACUGCUCGUUUGACGAGGGUUUUUUGCAUGGAAUUCGACAUCCCUCUCUGUAUAGCUCCUCUUUCACUCUUUUCUUGCCGCCCUACAUAAAAAGAAAACAAGGUAAGAAACAUUUCUAUUUUUUAGCAAGGGAAAAGAUUUACAUUCUUUUUCUUAUUUCAUUCACUGCAAGAAAAGAAGUCAAGCUCAAGCAGUAACUCAUGGCAUUCUCAGAUUCGAAGUUUUUAAGAAACCCAGUCCACUACAUAGAUGGAGAAGGACGUCUAAUUGCCGUCAAGCGGCUAAAUGAUUCAGGUUCUUUUGAUUCACUUUGAAACACAUUAACUAACUGAUGUCCCCAACAGUCAUUUGUCUUGUUGACCAAUGAAAUAUUGACGCUUUGAUCAGUAAAAAUACUGAAGAAUUUUAAGUAUAUAGAAAACGACCAAUGAGGCUUAGUUAAAGAGUCCAUACCUGAAAAAUGGAGAUGAGUCAUAUCACUAUGUAAUAGUAGUAUUUGCUAGAAAUCUAUUUUAAGCAUCCAUUUUGAGUUGUUGAGAAGUAUCCAAUAGCUUUACUCAAAAUCUCUCAAUCCACUGAAUGGAUAUAUAAAAUAUAUAAUGUUAGAAGGAACAUCAACGUUCAUUCUGCAUCUUUUAAGCGACAAAUAAUCAAAUAGAUUAUCUGCAUAAAUGAACAUCUUUUAUCAGCAACAGUUAAAGCAAACAUCAUACACCUACUUUUAUAAAAUCACUCAAACAUUCAAGAGUAGAGAAAAGAAUAAAAACCCAAACAAUGAGAAGAAUUCACAUAAAAUCAAACAAUAAGAUAAAUAAGAAACUCAAUAAACUAUCAAGUGAAGCAAUGAUUGAGAGUCUAGCUAAUAUAUCCAUUAGAACAAACAAAAUAUAUAGAAAAAGCAAAAACAUGGAUUUGCGAAUGAGCUUUUCCCUUUGCCAUUCAAAGGCAAUGAUGAGUCUGGCUGAUAAGAGCAUGCAAUGUGAAGAGAAUGGUGAUGUGAGCAUGGCAAUACGUAUCAGCACUCUCGUAUAACAUAUGUACGUUCAGCACUCGUAUAAAACCCUAACUGGUUCUUAUCUCUGUUUGUAUAAUUUUUUUUUUUUUUUUUGGGAAAACAUACUUGUAGAAGUUUUCCAACAUUUUCCCGGUGAUGGGAAAAUGCCUCCUUUUUCAGGGAGAAAUUUGAGAAGGAAAGCAUAGUUAUCAUUUAUAAACUUUCUUUAUUAUACCAUGCUUUUUGAUAUUUUAUACGUGUAUAUCUGAGCAGGAGAAGGCUUUACACCUAUAGAGUUGAACGGGUAAUGGAAUUCGACGCGGCUUACAGAUACUCUUUCGCUUGCUUUGCCCAAGUGGGCUCGCUGCUUUGCGAUGUAAUGAUAGGCACUAUACAAGUGGGUAUGCUAAAAUUUGGGCUUUCUUACUUCAGCUCACAACCAUUGGUCCUGGAAUUUCGCCAUAUAGCUGUACAGAAUGGAUUUUGUAUAUCUGAAUCGAAUUGGAAAUUGAAUUCAACAACCAGUUAGAUGAUUAGAUAAGUACAUAGAAAAGAGGCCCAAUAUUCGUCAAUCAUUGAGAUAGAGAAAGAAAAUGGGAAUAAUGAACAAGAGAGAGUAUUGUUUUAAAGGGUAGGAAUUCUCGAAAAGAUUUUGGAAGCUGAGUGGAAAACCAGAAGAAAAAGGUUGGAAGAUGCUUCAGGAAAAUGGGUCGGUGGCUGCCUUUGCUUCCUAUUUUCUUCUCAUUCACUCAUCCGCAUCCUUGCUCCCCAGAUGUUCUGCUUUUUUUUGUUUUAAAUCUAAACGAGAUUUUGUCUCCUAAUUAUUAAUUUAUUUUCCUUACAAUAAUCAUGUGAAUUAUCUUACAAUUUACUUUUUCUUUAAUAAAAUGGUGAUGGGAUUUUCAUUACAUGUGG